This 840-nucleotide long non-coding RNA is filed under the name Marmota monax (woodchuck). Lineage: Eukaryota; Metazoa; Chordata; Mammalia; Rodentia; Sciuridae. The record is from RNAcentral.
AAAAAACAAAAGCAGAUAGCCCAAUCAACAAAUGGCAAAAGAACUAAACAAACUAAACAGAAAUUUUUCAAGAACACAAAUAGCCAACAAAUAUAUGAAAAAAAUGUUCAAAGUUUCUAGCAAUUAGAGAAAUGCAAAUUAAAAUUACUCUAAGACUUCAUCUUAGUCCAGUAAGAAUGGAAGAAUAUGGUAAAAAGUAUUGGCAAAGAUUUGGAGAAAAAGAUACACUUAUAUAUUGUUGGUGGGACUGCAAAUUAGUACAACCACUCUAGAAAGCUAUAUGAAGAUUCCUCAAAAACCUAGGAAUGGAACCACUGUGUGACCCAACUAUCCCACUCCUUGCUAUUUAUUCAGAAGAACUAAAAUUAACAUACUAUAGUGAUAUAGCCACAUCAAUAUUUAUAUCUAUGGAACCACACAUAGAUGUAAUCCAUGCACAUUGAUGUAUAGAUUAAAAAAAUGUGGUAUAUGUGCACAAUGGAGCUUUACUGAGCCAUAAAGAAGAAUGAAAUUAUGGUAUUUUCUGGUAAAUAGGUAGAACUGGAGAACAUAGGCUAAGUGAAAUAAGCCGGACUCAGGAAAUCAAGGGUCACAUGUUUUAUCUCAUAUGCAGAAGGUAGAGCAAAGUAAGGGAAAAAAGGCCAGGUAGUUCAGCUAUCAUAAAGACAGAAGACCAGUGGGUUAAAGGAAAUGGAGAGAAAGGGGAGGAAAUACAGAAUGAUUUUGACAGAAGUACUCUGUGUGUGUAUAAAUACACCACAGUGAAUUCCACCUUUAUUUAAAUCAGUAAAGUACCAAUUAAAAAUAAAUAUGAUUGGAAAGUUGACUAGUAGAUUAGAG